This 1563-nucleotide ribosomal RNA is filed under the name Triticum aestivum (bread wheat). Its description in RNAcentral is "partial small subunit ribosomal RNA". The record is from RNAcentral. Lineage: Eukaryota; Viridiplantae; Streptophyta; Magnoliopsida; Poales; Poaceae.
AUGGGCAACUGCUGCGCGGGAUCCGGGGAUGCGGAGCCCGCCGCCGCCGCCGACCCCUCCACGCGCCGCGCCGGCGCCUCCGUGCAGGCCGGCGGCGCCUCGCCCUCCUCCGCGCCCGCCCAGAACAAGCCGCCGGCCGCCAUCGGCCCCGUGCUCGGCCGCCCCAUGGAGGACGUGCGCAGCAUCUACACCGUCGGUAAGGAGCUCGGCCGCGGCCAGUUCGGGGUCACCAGCCUCUGCACGCACAAGGCCACGGGCCAGAAGUUCGCCUGCAAGACCAUCGCCAAGCGCAAGCUGUCCACCAAGGAGGACGUGGAGGACGUGCGGCGCGAGGUGCAGAUCAUGUACCACCUCGCGGGGCAGCCCAACAUCGUGGAGCUCAAGGGCGCCUACGAGGACAAGCAGUCCGUGCACCUCGUCAUGGAGCUCUGCGCCGGCGGCGAGCUCUUCGACCGGAUCAUCGCCAAGGGCAAGUACACGGAGCGCGCCGCCGCAUCCCUGCUCCGCACCAUCGUCGAGAUCAUCCACACCUGCCACUCCCUCGGCGUCAUCCACCGCGACCUCAAGCCCGAGAACUUCCUCCUGCUCAGCAAGGAGGAGGACGCGCCGCUCAAGGCCACCGACUUCGGGCUAUCCGUCUUCUACAAGCAAGGGGAGGUGUUCAAGGACAUCGUGGGCAGCGCCUACUACAUCGCGCCGGAGGUCCUGAAGCGGAACUACGGGCCGGAGGCGGACAUAUGGAGCGUCGGCGUCAUCGUCUACAUCCUUCUCUGCGGUGUCCCUCCCUUCUGGGCAGAAUCGGAGCACGGCAUCUUCAAUUCCAUCCUGAGGGGGCAGAUCGACUUCAGCAGCGACCCAUGGCCACGCAUUUCGCCCGGCGCCAAGGACCUCGUCAGAAAGAUGCUCAACUCUGACCCCAAGAAAAGGAUAUCAGCCUACGACGUCCUCAACCAUCCUUGGAUCAAGGAAGACGGAGAGGCGCCUGACACGCCGCUGGACAACGCCGUCAUGAACAGGCUCAAGCAGUUCAAGGCUAUGAACCAGUUCAAGAAAGCUGCGCUAAGGGUCAUCGCCGGAUGCCUGUCGGAGGAAGAGAUCAGGGGUCUCAAGGAGAUGUUCAAGAGCAUGGACUCGGACAACAGCGGCACCAUCACCGUCGACGAGCUCCGGAAGGGUCUGGGAAAACAGGGGACCAAGCUCACGGAGGCCGAAGUGGAGCAGCUCAUGGAAGCCGUAAGAGCCGACGCCGACGGGAGCGGGACGAUCGACUACGACGAGUUCAUCACGGCGACGAUGCACAUGAACAGGAUGGACCGGGAAGAGCACCUCUACACCGCCUUCCAGUACUUCGACAAGGACAACAGCGGCUACAUUUCCAAGGAGGAGCUCGAGCAGGCCCUUCGGGAGAAGGGGCUCCUGGACGGCAGAGACAUGAAUGAAAUCGUGUCGGAAGUCGACGCCGACAACGACGGGAGGAUCGACUACAGCGAGUUCGUGGCGAUGAUGAGGAAAGGGGCCCCCGAGGGGGCCAACCCCAAGAAACGGCGCGACGUCAUGCUAUAG